This 440-nucleotide ribosomal RNA is filed under the name uncultured bacterium. Its description in RNAcentral is "partial 16S ribosomal RNA". It matches the Rfam family "Bacterial small subunit ribosomal RNA", at positions 338 to 795 of the family's 1533-position model. The record is from RNAcentral.
CCUACGGGUGGCUGCAGUGGGGAAUAUUGCACAAUGGGGGAAACCCUGAUGCAGCGACGCAGCGUGAGUGAAGAAGUACCUCGGUAUGUAAAGCUCUAUCAGCAGGGAAGAAAAUGACGGUAUCUGACUAAGUAGCUCUGGCUAACUACGUGCCAGCAGCAGCGGUAAUAUGCCGGGGGCAAGCGUUAUCCGGAUUUACUGGGUGUAAAGGGAGCGUAGUCGGAGCUGCAAGUGCGGUGUGAAAGCCCAUGGCUUAACCGUGGAACUGCUCUGGAAACUGGGGAGCUUGAGUGCGGGAGAGGCAGGCGGAAUUCGUAGUGUAGCGGUGAAAUGCGUAGAUAUUAGGAGGAACACCGACUGCGAAGGCGGCCUGCUGGACCGUAACUGACGUUGAGGCUCGAAAGCGUGGGGAGCAAACAGGAUUAGAUACCCGGGUAGUC